RNAcentral lists this transfer RNA (73 nucleotides) under Mus musculus (house mouse). RNAcentral describes it as "tRNA-Arg". Lineage: Eukaryota; Metazoa; Chordata; Mammalia; Rodentia; Muridae. The record is from RNAcentral.
GCAGAGAUGGCUCAGUGUUUAAGAGCACUGACUCCUCUUCCAGAGGUCCUGAGUUCAAUUCCCAGCAACCGUG